UACGUAGGGUGCAAGCGUUGUCCGGAAUUAUUGGGCGUAAAGAGCUCGUAGGCGGUUUGUCGCGUCUGCUGUGAAAACUCGGGGCUUAACUCCGGGCCUGCAGUGGGUACGGGCAGACUAGAGUAUGGCAGGGGAGACUGGAAUUCCUGGUGUAGCGGUGAAAUGCGCAGAUAUCAGGAGGAACACCGGUGGCGAAGGCGGGUCUCUGGGCCAUAACUGACGCUGAGGAGCGAAAGCGUGGGGAGCGAACAGG
Molecule: ribosomal RNA, 253 nt
Filed under: uncultured bacterium
Lineage: Bacteria
Description: partial 16S ribosomal RNA
Rfam family: Bacterial small subunit ribosomal RNA
Source: RNAcentral